AGGCUUCCUUAGUCCUGACCUACG
Molecule: microRNA, 24 nt
Filed under: Ciona intestinalis (vase tunicate)
Lineage: Eukaryota; Metazoa; Chordata; Ascidiacea; Phlebobranchia; Cionidae
Description: Cin-Novel-1_5p* (star (passenger))
Source: RNAcentral